This 964-nucleotide long non-coding RNA is filed under the name Homo sapiens (human). Its description in RNAcentral is "HSALNT0318977". Lineage: Eukaryota; Metazoa; Chordata; Mammalia; Primates; Hominidae. The record is from RNAcentral.
CAGUGGCCGAUAUAUGGUACUGUUUCUCCCAUAGCCAAGAUUCAGGAGUCCAGGAAUCAAGGGGUGGAAAUGGAAGUGGCACGACUCACCAACACCCCUAGAGAUCCACUGGCAAAAUUUUUGCUUCCUGUUCCCAUGACAUUAUAUUUUGCUGGCCUAAAGGUCUUAGUUCCAGAGGGAGAAACACUGCCGCCAGGAGACACAACAACGAUUCCAUUCAAUUAGAAGUUAAGAUUGCCACUUGGACACUUUGGGCUUCUCCUACCUUGAAGUCAACAGGCUAAGAAGAGAGUUACUUGGCUGGGGCGAUUGACCCAGAUUAUCAAGAUGAAAUCAGUCUACUACUCCACAACUGAGAAUAUAAACCGGCAGAAAAAUGUGAAAAGAGACUGGCCUAGCCUCCCAGCCUACAUCUUUCUCCUGUGCUGGAUGCUUCCUGCCCUCAAACAUUGGACUCCAGAUUCUUUAGUUUUGGAACUCGGACUGUCUCUCCUUGCUCCUCGGCCUGCAGACGGGCUACUGUGGGACCUUGUGAUCGUACAAGUAAAUAGGAAACUCACAAUUUUUCCAGCAAAACUUGUAUGUGAAAAUAUAAGCAAAAUGAUAAAUGUGACUGGCCGACAAGCAAAAAACAUUGUUUACCAUCAAACAGCACCAAAACUUCUGGCUGUGUUAUUACCAAUUUGAAUGGACCUUUGCCGAAAGUCCCUGAAGCCAAGCCACACUGCUAACUGAUGAGAGACCAGCUUGAAAGAGGGAGGACCUGCCAAUUGCCAUCAGCACAACUCCAGAUAUAUGGGAGUCAGGCUUUAGGGCAAAAACCGGGGAUCACAGAAUGCUUGCUCAAUCAACUUUGCUCAUCCAAAAUCACAAAAAUCGCCUCAAAAAAUGUUGAUGAUAAUUUAAUUUUCUUCACUCUCCAUGAAGAUGUUAGAUAAUGCUCACUCUGGGUGAGAAUAAAAGC